GAUUGAGGGUGUUGGAGUAGAGGGCUCUUGUGGUGGAGUUCCACAAUUGCUACCAUCAGGUGGCGAUGGGGUUGGAUUGUAACUUCCACCACCCUCAGGUGGUGAUGGAGUUGGAUCAUAGCUUCCACCACCUGGGGGAGUUGAUGGGGUUGGAUUGUAACUUCCACCACCCUCAGGUGGUGAUGGAGUUGGAUCAUAGGUAGGUGGUGAUGGAGUUGGAUCAUAGCUUCCACCACCUGGGGGAGUUGAUGGGGUUGGGUCAUAGCUUCCACCACCAGGGGGAGUUGAUGGAGUUGGAUUGUAACUUCCACCACUAGGGGGAGUUGAUGGGGUUGGAUUGUAACUUCCACCACCAUCUGAGGGUG
This 365-nucleotide long non-coding RNA is filed under the name Phaseolus vulgaris (common bean). Its description in RNAcentral is "long non-coding RNA (PVUL_LNC001821)". The record is from RNAcentral. Lineage: Eukaryota; Viridiplantae; Streptophyta; Magnoliopsida; Fabales; Fabaceae.